GAGAAGCGGAUUACAGUAGUAAAGGCGAGAAAGGACAGUGGAAUGGACCAACACCUUAGUCGCAUCUGGCGUUAAGUAGGGGCGGAUGCGCGCAAUGUUUUUGAGAUGGAAAUGACAGGAUUUGGCGAUAGAGUGAACAUGAGGCUUGAAGGAGAGGUCGGAGUCAAAGAGAACACCUAGGCAGUGAGCGUGGUGGAGCUGAUGGUAGCACCGUUGACUUGGAGGGAGGGAGACACAGGAGUAACAACACUUGAGGGAGGAAAGACCAG
Non-coding RNA from Pelobates cultripes (western spadefoot toad), 269 nucleotides. The record is from the annotation of a GenBank genome assembly. NCBI's taxonomy places the organism in Eukaryota, Metazoa, Chordata, Amphibia, Anura, Pelobatidae.